Molecule: ribosomal RNA, 253 nt
Filed under: uncultured bacterium
Lineage: Bacteria
Description: partial 16S ribosomal RNA
Rfam family: Bacterial small subunit ribosomal RNA
Source: RNAcentral
UACGGGGGGGGCAAGCGUUGUUCGGAAUUACUGGGCGUAAAGGGUUUGUAGGGGGCUUGUUAAGUCAGACGUGAAAUCCCUCAGCUUAACUGGGGAACUGCGUCUGAUACUGGCGAGCUUGAGUGCAGGAGAGGAACGCGGAAUUCCAGGUGUAGCGGUGAAAUGCGUAGAUAUCUGGAGGAACACCGGUGGCGAAGGCGGCGUUCUGGACUGCAACUGACACUGAGAAACGAAAGCCAGGGUAGCAAACGGG